Molecule: long non-coding RNA, 951 nt
Organism: Carassius auratus (goldfish)
Lineage: Eukaryota; Metazoa; Chordata; Actinopteri; Cypriniformes; Cyprinidae
Exons: 2
Source: RefSeq, a predicted model, not a curated record
GAAUAUGGCGAGCGGUGACGGGGGAUGUGCCGGCAGGUGCAGCGCUUACCUCCAGCUCUGGCGGGAGUGAUGCUACGGUCACGAAAAGUCCUGUUGCGAUGGCUAGCCCUCUGCGGGACGACCCGUUACCGGUUUACCACAGCAACACUCCACUUGUCGCGAAGGUGCAGCUGGUGUAUAUGGACACGUGAUCCGGUAGUGCACGAGGAGGUUCUUAUUCAAGAGCCGUCACCACUGAUCUAUAAUACUGAUCCGUGGCCGUCACCCAUCAUCCUCAGCAAAAUAAUCAGUGCAUUAAAAACUCGCAUUAUCAGCUUAUAUCUACGUGCCACGAAAAAGUGCAUUAUAGAGAAAUACAUAGGUUUCUAUAACAGAAUAAUCAACAAGUCGAUUUAACCAUUUACGAAGAAUAUUCUAAAUAAUAUAUCUCUAAAUUGUGAUUGUAGCUGUCAAAUGAAUUCUAAAAAAAGACAUGCGCCCCCAGGAAGACAAAACAGAAGCAUUUCUGACAUCUUUCCUUGAUUGUUUGAUUCGCAAAAAUAAAACAGAGGGGAAAAAACCCAAUAAAAGUAUAAUGAAACAUUUAAUUUCAUUUUAAACAAAAUUUUGUCUUUGGAUUCAAGGUCAACAUGUAAAUGUGAAACAAUUCUGAAACAGAAUAUAAUGUCUAACAUCAAAAGCACUUGUACUUGCAAACUAUUUAGUUGCAAACAAACUCUCUUCUGCAGGAAUCAUGAGUGGUGACGGGACGUCCAGCACUGGAACACGCUAAUAGUGAUACAUUCAGAGUGAAGAACACAUGCACUCAUGCAGACAGGUAAUAAGGUCAUACAUAAAACAACAGUGAUUCAUAGUGACUCUUAAUUCCUACAGCAUAACCCCAUGUGCAAAAAAGCAAUACCAAGAAAAUCCUAAAUAUAUGUGCUUGUAACAGUAAAAAAAAAAAAAAAA